Non-coding RNA from Candidatus Woesearchaeota archaeon CG1_02_47_18, 73 nucleotides. NCBI's taxonomy places the organism in Archaea, Nanobdellati, Candidatus Woesearchaeota. The record is from Rfam.
GCCCCUGUAGCAUAGUAGCCAAUGCGUCGCUCUCGUAAAGCGAAGACCGUGGGUGCAACUCCCUCCAGGGGCU